GAUGAACGCUGGCGGCGUGCCUAAUACAUGCAAGUCGAGCGAACAGACGAGGAGCUUGCUCCUCUGACGUUAGCGGCGGACGGGUGAGUAACACGUGGAUAACCUACCUAUAAGACUGGGAUAACUUCGGGAAACCGGAGCUAAUACCGGAUAAUAUAUUGAACCGCAUGGUUCAAUAGUUAAAGACGGUUUUGCUGUCACUUAUAGAUGGAUCCGCGCCGCAUUAGCUAGUUGGUAAGGUAACGGCUUACCAAGGCAACGAUGCGUAGCCGACCUGAGAGGGUGAUCGGCCACACUGGAACUGAGCCACGGUCCAGACUCCUACGGGAGGCAGCAGUAGGGAAUCUUCCGCAAUGGGCGAGAGCCUGACGGAGCAACGCCGCGUGAGUGAUGAAGGUCUUCGGAUCGUAAAACUCUGUUAUUAGGGAAGAACAAAUGUGUAAGUAACUAUGCACGUCUUGACGGUACCUAAUCAGAAAGCCACGGCUAACUACGUG
This 497-nucleotide ribosomal RNA is filed under the name uncultured bacterium. Its description in RNAcentral is "partial 16S ribosomal RNA". It matches the Rfam family "Bacterial small subunit ribosomal RNA", at positions 28 to 507 of the family's 1533-position model. The record is from RNAcentral.